GGGGGAGUAGCUCAGAGAUAGGGCACUUGCCCAGCAAACACGAGGCCCUAGGUUUGAUUCCUAGCACCGCCA
This 72-nucleotide transfer RNA is filed under the name Fukomys damarensis (Damara mole-rat). It matches the Rfam family "tRNA". Rfam says of the family: Transfer RNA (tRNA) molecules are approximately 80 nucleotides in length. The record is from Rfam by way of RNAcentral. Lineage: Eukaryota; Metazoa; Chordata; Mammalia; Rodentia; Bathyergidae.